GAUUGUUUUAACUUUAUAUGCUUUGUUCAACGUGAAUUGAAAGUGAUUGUGGAUGAUGUGGUUCACAGAGUACAAUGAGUCUGUGUAGCUGCUUUGGAUUCUUGCUGUUUGUCCUCCACAAUCUCCCAGGCACCACAGAGGAUUUCUUCCUAGAUUCGUCUCAUUCUGCUUUUCCCAUCACCUUCGGUUUGGGAGUCAUCUUCAUGUCUGUUAUUUUAGUCGUUUUUGCUGCAUAUAAAUGGAAACAAAACAAAAACAGAAACAAAGAGAGGGAGCACCUUAAGACAACUGAGAAGAAUUCAAUCAAGGCUUUCCAUACAGGACAAAGAGACAAUGAGACCAAGAAUUUGGAGGAUGAAAUUGAUGAAAUUCAGCCUCUCCGAGACCAGAAUCAGAGCAUGGAGAACGAGCUGCAGACCUUGAAGAGAGAGCUGGAGACCAACAAAAAACAGCUGGAGAAACCUAAGAGUAUAAGAGACACCAUUGAAGGAAUGCGGGACUCUUUUUCACAACUGAAGUUCCACCUUGCCAAUCUCAGGAUGCGGAAAUUGGAAGAUGAAAAAGAUGAAAUGCAUCUCCGAAACAAGAAUCAGAGCAUGCAGAAAGAGCUGCAGACACUGAGGACAGAGCUGGAGACCAACAAAAAACAGCUGGAGAGUAUAAGAGACACCAUUGAAGGAUUUCGGGACUCUUUUCCACAACUGAAGUUCACCCUUGCCAAUCUCAGGAUGCGGAAAUUGGAGGAUGAAGUAGAUGAAAUUCAACAUCUCCGAGACCAGAAUCAGGGCAUGGAGAACAAGCUGCAGACCCCGAGGAGAGAGCUGGUGCAUGACAAAAAACAGUUGGAGGAUGAAAUCGAUGAAAUUCAGCAUCUCCGAGACCAGAAUCAGAGCAUGGGGAACGAGCUGCAGACCUUGAAGAGAGAGCUGGAGACCAACAAAAAACAGUCAGCUGACAAGGCCAGGGGGCAGACCUUUGAGGAGCUUAAGAACACCCAGUUUGAACUGGAGAAAAAGACUGCGGAGAUCAGGAACCUGCGGAGAGAGUUUGAUGACAGACUCAGGGAAGAGAAUCAGAGUAAAGAGAAAUGCCUGCAGACCCUGAAGGAGGAGCUGGAGAGCAAGAACAAGGAGCUUUGUGAGUCCAAGCUUCAGUUCGAAUCUCUCAUGAAGAAGAAUCAGGAGUUUGAGAGAAAGCUGACUGAACUUAGAGAGCUGCACAAGCAGGUGUUAAAGAAGAUGGUCGAGGAUGAGCAGCAGAGGACGGAGGAAGUACAAAAGGAAGUGGAGACCCUGAAGAUGGAGCUGGAGAAGAAGAAGGACGAGAAAAGCCAAGCAGGGGAGUCAGAUGUUCAGAAAUCUCUGAUAGUAUGUGACAGCUCUGGAGAAGAACAUUUAGUGUCAGAGGAACAGAGUAAAGCAGCGGAGAUGGCUGAAGAAUUACCAAAUGUUGCAAAAGAAGUUGUGAACUGACAAUCUGUACAACAAGCAGAAUCCAGUGAUUUGUUUGAUUUGGAGCUAUUAUGUACAUAUUCAGUGCAAAAGAAGUAGUGUGAUGCAGUUUGGGAAGUUUAAAUUGUUUGAUGACUGACUGCACUAAAAGUACAUAAACAAUUCUGAAAAAAAAAUAAAAACAUACUUGUAUUUAUACCUUAAACAGCCUUUUAAUAUAUAUGACUAUAAUAUAAUAUUCAUCACUGCUAUUUUUAAUUGCCUUACUCUAUGUUGUUACUGUAACAGUUUAAUAAAAUAAUUACUUCUGUG
Molecule: long non-coding RNA, 1763 nt
Filed under: Dicentrarchus labrax (European seabass)
Lineage: Eukaryota; Metazoa; Chordata; Actinopteri; Moronidae
Description: lncRNA (ENSDLAG00005016934.2)
Source: RNAcentral